Chlorocebus sabaeus (green monkey) is the source of this 3164-nucleotide long non-coding RNA. RefSeq lists it as uncharacterized. The record is from RefSeq and is a predicted model, not a curated record. Lineage: Eukaryota; Metazoa; Chordata; Mammalia; Primates; Cercopithecidae.
GCAGGCUUGGGACCAAAGCCCGGAUCCUUCACUGUGUGACCUUGACUGAGUCACUUCCCUCCUCUGAGCUCAGUUCCUCCUCUGUGAAGUCAUCUCCUCAAAGAGGCCUUCCCUGGCCCACCUCCUGCCCUUCAUUUCUUCCAUACCUCUGACCACAGCCACGGUUCUCUUGUUUGUUCCUUUUUUUUUUGUCUGUCUCUUCCCUCCAGAAUAUGCAUUCCAGGAGAGCAGGGAUAUUUGUUUUGUUCCCCGACGUAUCCCCAGGAUCUGGCACAGGACUGGCAGAUUUUCUUCUUGUAAUGCACGAUGUCCACCAGCUGCUACAAACUCGUCCUUACAGCUCACACUCUCAAGAGAAAAAUUUCUAGAGGGCACUAGAAAAAGUCCCAGCUGCAGGCUGGACACAGUGCUUCCUCCAUCCGGGCCUUUGUCAUGCUCUUCCCCUGCUGCAGUGCUGUCAGCUGCCUGGUCCAUCAAUAUUCACUCUUCAAAGUCUAGCUCCGCUGGAUAAGCCACUUCAUGACAGUCAGAAUCUGAUGUGGAAUGAUGAAAACACCGUAGCACUGUGCUCCUUCCAACUGCCAGGACCUGCAGCGCUGGGCCCGAGGGUGUCUGGGGAGGCUGCACUGCCGCAAAGGCCUGGGAGUUAACACCUCUCUCCCCAGACCAUGCACAGAUACCUUGAAAUUGACCUCAAUCCAUGAGCAACAAGAACUGGUGCAUGAUAAUCCAGCUCCCACACUCAUGGGUCGGAGAGCUCUAAGGUGUGUGGUUUGCAGUUUCCCAGAGGCUCCCUGUGGGAUUAAGCUCCAGAUGGCCAAGGUGACCACUUGCUUGUUAACACACUGGCCUCCUCCUUUUCCUUGUUUCACUUCCUCAUUUCCCUCUAGGUUUCCCUAGGAUCACCAGCUGUCAUGGACUGAUUUAUGUCUCUCCAAAUUCAUAUGUUGAAGCCUUAACCUCCCAUGUGAUUGUGUUUGGAGAUAAUUACUUUAGGGAAGCAAUGAAGGUUAAAUGAGGUCAUAAGUGGGAGCUUAAUCCAAUGGGACUGGGGUCCCUACAAGAAGAGGAAGACACUAGAGCUCUCUGCCUCCACACACAGAGAAAAGAGGCUGUAUGAAGACACAAGAGAAGGUAACAGCUGUCUACAAACCAAGAAGAGAAGCCUCUCCAGAAAAUGAACCCCGCUGGAACUUGAUCUUGGACUUUCCAGCCUCCAGAACUGGGAGAAAAUAAAGUUCUGUGUGUGAGCCCCCCAGUCCGUGGUAUUUUGUUAUGGCAGCCCUAGCAGACUAAUAACACUUGCCAAUUAAACUACUCGUUCUCCGAUUGUUGUCUCAGGGUCUGCUCCUAGGGAACCUGGACUAAGACAGAUGCUCUGCUUCUUUAGGCCCUAGGGAAAUGCAAAUGAAAACCACACAUGAUGCCAUGUCACAGGUACUAGGAUAACCGGAAGGAAAUCUGACCACAUCGGAUGCUGGUGAAGUUGGGAAGCCGUCAUGUACAGCUGAUGGAGCACCACACCCCAAGCUGACUCUCUGCACAGCCCGGGGCUGCAGCUGGGCUGGCCUCCCUCCUGCCAGCACUCCUCAGGAUUGCGCCGGACCUCCACUGAGGUGCUUCAGACCCUAACCAAGUUCCCUGUCCUCUCUGAGACGGGGCCCUUUUGGACCAAGGUUUUCUUGGCUGCUCAGGCACCCAUAGUCUCUGCACCUGCUGCUGCUCUGUAUUGGGUUGGGGUCACUGGAAACAGACCAGAACUAGAAUUUGAGGGCAAGGAGUUCAUUUGAGAGGUGAUUCCAGGAAGCCACGAGGGAUGUGGGAAGUGAGACAGGGAAAGAAGCCAGUACAGGCAAAUUCAUGAGCAGCUGGCAGGCAACCGGGGCCCUGCCCUCUUGGGACGUCUGGGAGACAGGAGACAGUGCAGAGCAAGGCUCAGAGCUGUCCAUUCUGGGGAGGGAGGAAGCUGGGGCAUUUAUCCACCAACCCAGAUCAUUUAUCCAUCACCAAGGGCGGUUCGUGAGCCCACGAACUCUGACCUCUGAGAGCUUUCAACAGUCCCUAGGGCAGAAUCACAGAUACCUGCUUAGUGCCAAGGGGAUGUGGGUGAGGCUCUGUAAAGGAGAGGGAGAGCCUGCAGCAGAGAGAACCUGAAGAAGGCCUUGGAGAGCUUGAAUCUCAGGCAGCUGCUGACUCAUCUUCUCUGAGGGUCAGUUUCUAGAAAAUGGGAGUGAAAUACUGCUUUCCUGCAGGUGUCAGGUGAGAACCAAAAGCGAUAAGGCCUGUAAACAGCCUGGGUGCUGCCUGCACGGGAGGAGGUUGAUAAAUGAUACUCUGUCUGCCCUCCUCCGGGGCAAGGGCCAGGCUGACUCACCCGGUCUGGGGGCACCCAGUGACCUGCUGUUUGUACCAAACAUUGCCUCCCACAGAGUCCUCACCCUCCCUUCUUUUCCCUCUUUAUCUCUCAUUUUAAAAAAUCUAAUAGUGACUGCUAUCUAAGGCUUGCCAGGCUGGAGUGGGCUGUGGAGACCCAGGAGUGCCCUGAGCCUGUCCUUGCCCUCGAGAGUUCACAGUCCAGUUGGGAAGUUAGACGAGUAUGUGGCCAGCUGGUGACAUGGGUGUGGGCUUGACAGGUGAGUAGAUGUGUGGUAGGGGCAAGGAGGCAGUGAAGGCAGGGGCGGGGUGGGUAGAGAUGGUUCCGGGGACAGAGGGAGGUGAGCAGAGGAAGUGGGCAGAUGGUGGCUCUUGUGUUUUGAGCCCCCGUGCAACGGAAAUCCCAGAUACUACAGGUGAGGCAGCAGCCAAGCCUGGCCCAGUUGCUACCAGAGCAGGGCUGGCCUGCAGCCUCCUGAUUCCCAGCCAGGUUUGCCUGAUACAUCCCUCUCCCACCCUCCCUUGGGCCACAGGAGGUGAGGAUGGAGCUAGGGGCUGGGCAACCCAGGAAACUGAGGCCGGGCUUUCUGCCCUGGCUCCUCCCUCCUCUUCCCUGCCUAACCCCUGCAUGAGCCUAUCCAGCACGGUUCUCCCAGAUGCCCUGGAGAUUGGGGUGGGAAAUCCUCCACUUUCAUGCUUUUUAUUCAAAUGCCAUCUGAAUUUUGCGUCUAUGAUACAGAGAUGUUUGUUUUUAAAAGAAAUAACAGUUAUAAUGCCUUACUAAUUACUAA